RNAcentral lists this ribosomal RNA (763 nucleotides) under uncultured Halobacteria archaeon. RNAcentral's name for it is "bacterial SSU rRNA". It matches the Rfam family "Archaeal small subunit ribosomal RNA", at positions 527 to 1288 of the family's 1478-position model. The record is from RNAcentral. Lineage: Archaea; Methanobacteriati; Methanobacteriota; Halobacteria.
GGCCGAGCGGGUCCGUCGGGAAAUCCGCGUGCUCAACGCGCGGGCGUCCGGCGGAAACCACUCGGCUUGGGGCCGGAGGACUCGAGGGGUACGUCCGGGGUAGGAGUGAAAUCCCGUAAUCCUGGACGGACCGCCGAUGGCGAAAGCACCUCGAGAGGACGGACCCGACGGUGAGGGACGAAAGCCAGGGUCUCGAACCGGAUUAGAUACCCGGGUAGUCCUGGCCGUAAACGAUGUUCGCUAGGUGUGGCGUCGACUACGAGUCGGCGCUGUGCCGCAGGGAAGCCGCUAAGCGAACCGCCUGGGAAGUACGUCCGCAAGGAUGAAACUUAAAGGAAUUGGCGGGGGAGCACUACAACCGGAGGAGCCUGCGGUUUAAUUGGACUCAACGCCGGAAAUCUUACCAGCUCCGACAGUAGCGAUGACGCUCAGUGUGAUGAGCUUGGUUGAGCUACUGAGAGGAGGUGCAUGGCCGCCGUCAGCUCGUACCGUGAGGCGUCCUGUUAAGUCAGGCAACGAGCGAGACCCGCACUCUUAAUUGCCAGCGACACCGCGAGGUGGUCGGGUACAUUAGGAGGACUGCCGUCGCCAAGACGGAGGAAGGAACGGGCAACGGUAGGUCAGUAUGCCCCGAAUGAGCUGGGCUACACGCGGGCUACAAUGGUCGAGACAAUGGGUUCCAACCUCGAGAGAGGACGGUAAUCUCCUAAACUCGGUCGUAGUUCGGAUUGAGGGUUGAAACUCACCCUCAUGAAGCUGGAUU